Long non-coding RNA from Manacus vitellinus (golden-collared manakin), 274 nucleotides. RefSeq lists it as uncharacterized. NCBI's taxonomy places the organism in Eukaryota, Metazoa, Chordata, Aves, Passeriformes, Pipridae. The record is from RefSeq and is a predicted model, not a curated record. The transcript is spliced from 3 exons.
CUCCCCACCAGGUGCCACGAGGGACAUCGGCUCUGCCCUGACCCGCAUGUGCAUGAGGCACCGCAGCAUCGAGGCCAAGCUCCGGCAGUUCACCAACGCCCUCAUGGAGAGCCUGAUAAACCCUUUGCAGGACAGGAUUGAGGACUGGAAGAAAACUGCCAACCAGCUGGACAAGGACCACGCGAAAGAGUACAAGCGAGCACGCCACGAGAUCAAGAAAAAAUCCUCUGACACCCUCAAGCUCCAGAAAAAGGCUCGCAAAGGUGAGGGAGGG